GAGUUUGAUCCUGGCUCAGAUUGAACGCUGGCGGUAUGCUUAACACAUGCAAGUCGAACGGCAGCAUAAGAGAGCUUGCUCUCUUGAUGGCGAGUGGCGGACGGGUGAGUACAACAUAGGAAUCUAUCCAUGUAGCUGGGGAUAACUCGGAGAAAUCCGAGCUAAUACCGAAUACGCUCUACGGAGGAAAGAGGGGGAAUCUUCGGAUCCUCUCACUAUCGGGUGAGCCUAUGCCGGAUUAGCUUGUUGGUGGGGUAAUGGCCUACCAAGGCAACGAUCCGUAGCUGGUCUGAGAGGACGAUCAGCCACACUGGGACUGAGACACGGCCCAGACUCCUACGGGAGGCAGCAGUGGGGAAUAUUGGACAAUGGGGGCAACCCUGAUCCAGCAAUACCGCGUGUGUGAAGAAGGCCUGCGGGUUGUAAAGCACUUUCAGUAGGGAAGAAAAGUUAAUGAUUAAUACUCAUUGACCCUGACGUUACCUACAGAAGAAGCACCGGCUAACUCCGUGCCAGCAGCCGCGGUAAUAAGGGCGA
This 537-nucleotide ribosomal RNA is filed under the name uncultured Granulosicoccus sp. RNAcentral's name for it is "bacterial SSU rRNA". It matches the Rfam family "Bacterial small subunit ribosomal RNA", at positions 9 to 532 of the family's 1533-position model. The record is from RNAcentral. Lineage: Bacteria; Pseudomonadati; Pseudomonadota; Gammaproteobacteria; Chromatiales; Granulosicoccaceae.